ACGAAGCGGUGGAUGGAUGUGGAUUAAUUCGAUGCAACGCGAAGAACUUACCAAGGCUUGACAUACACCGGUAACGCCCAGAGAUGGGUGCCCCGUUUGUGGUCGGUGGACAGGUGGUGCAUGGGUUGUCGUCAGCUCGUGUCGUGAGAUGUUGGGUUAAGUCCCGCAACGAGCGCAACCCUCGUCCUAUGUUGCCAGCGGGUCAUGCCGGGGACUCAUGGGAGACUGCCGGGGUCAACUCGGAGGAAGGUGGGAUGACGUCAAAUCAUCAUGCCCCUUAUGUCUUGGGCUUCACGCAUGCUACAAUGGCCGGUACAAAGGGCUGCGAUACCGCGAGGUGGAGCGAAUCCCAGAAAGCCGGUCUCAGUUCGGAUUGGGGUCUGCAACUCGACCCCAUGAAGUCGGAGUCGCUAGUAAUCGCAGAUCAGCAACGCUGCGGUGAAUACGUUCCCGGGCCUU
RNAcentral lists this ribosomal RNA (459 nucleotides) under uncultured Cellulomonas sp. RNAcentral describes it as "bacterial SSU rRNA". It matches the Rfam family "Bacterial small subunit ribosomal RNA", at positions 925 to 1382 of the family's 1533-position model. The record is from RNAcentral. Lineage: Bacteria; Bacillati; Actinomycetota; Actinomycetes; Micrococcales; Cellulomonadaceae.